GCCUACGGGGCGCAGCAGUAAGGGAUAUUGGUCAAUGGGGGAAACCCUGAACCAGCAACGCCGCGUGAGGGAAGACGGUUUUCGGAUUGUAAACCUCUGUCCUCUGUGAAGAUGAUGACGGUAGCAGAGGAGGAAGCUCCGGCUAACUACGUGCCAGCAGCCGCGGUAAUACGUAGGGAGCGAGCGUUGUCCGGAUUUACUGGGUGUAAAGGGUGCGUAGACGGCUUGGCAAGUCAGUAGUGAAAUCCAUGGGCUUAACC
Molecule: ribosomal RNA, 260 nt
Filed under: uncultured bacterium
Lineage: Bacteria
Description: partial 16S ribosomal RNA
Rfam family: Bacterial small subunit ribosomal RNA
Source: RNAcentral